RNAcentral lists this ribosomal RNA (302 nucleotides) under uncultured bacterium. RNAcentral's name for it is "bacterial SSU rRNA". It matches the Rfam family "Bacterial small subunit ribosomal RNA", at positions 773 to 1072 of the family's 1533-position model. The record is from RNAcentral.
AGUGAAUAGAUACCCCGGUAGUCCACGCUGUAAACGAUGAGUGCUGGACGUUGGCGGGUUUACCUGCCGGUGUCGCAGCUAAACGCGUUAAGCACUCCGCCUGGGGAGUACGGCCGCAAGGUUAAAACUCAAAGGAAUUGACGGGGGCCCGCACAAGCGGUGGAGCAUGUGGUUUAAUUCGACGCAACGCGCAGAACCUUACCAGCCCUUGACAUGGGCGGACGGGGUCCAGAGAUGGACUCUUUCUCGCAAGAGACCGCUACACAGGUGCUGCAUGGCUGUCGUCAGCUCGUGUCGUGAGA